This 497-nucleotide ribosomal RNA is filed under the name uncultured bacterium. RNAcentral's name for it is "partial 16S ribosomal RNA". It matches the Rfam family "Bacterial small subunit ribosomal RNA", at positions 28 to 507 of the family's 1533-position model. The record is from RNAcentral.
GAUGAACGCUGGCGGCGUGCCUAAUACAUGCAAGUCGAGCGAACAGACGAGGAGCUUGCUCCUCUGACGUUAGCGGCGGACGGGUGAGUAACACGUGGAUAACCUACCUAUAAGACUGGGAUAACUUCGGGAAACCGGAGCUAAUACCGGAUAAUAUAUUGAACCGCAUGGUUCAAUAGUGAAAGACGGUAUUGCUGUCACUUAUAGAUGGAUCCGCGCCGCAUUAGCUAGUUGGUAAGGUAACGGCUUACCAAGGCAACGAUGCGUAGCCGACCUGAGAGGGUGAUCGGCCACACUGGAACUGAGACACGGUCCAGACUCCUACGGGAGGCAGCUGUAGGGAAUCUUCCGCAAUGGGCGAAAGCCUGACGGAGCAACGCCGCGUGAGUGAUGAAGGUCUUCGGAUCGUAAAACUCUGUUAUUAGGGAAGAACAAAUGUGUAAGUAACUAUGCACGUCUUGACGGUACCUAAUCAGAAAGCCACGGCUAACUACGUG